Molecule: long non-coding RNA, 2717 nt
Organism: Taeniopygia guttata (zebra finch)
Lineage: Eukaryota; Metazoa; Chordata; Aves; Passeriformes; Estrildidae
Source: Ensembl
GAGGCAUUGCAGAAAGGAGGAGCAUCUGCUGACUUGUUGGUCUUCUGAAAACUGACGCCCUCUAAGAUCAGAGGUGAACCAGUCUGGGAUCAUUUUACUGAAGCAUGAGAGAGGACACAACUCUCAAGCUGAAUUAGGCCAUUUGGAGAGGUUUACCAAAAUCUCCAUGGGUUACAGACGCAAGACUUUUCUCUCAAACUGGUCUGGACUGAGCACUUAGUGUUUGUAGAUGUAGUUGUAGAUAUUCUCAAUUUAUCCAGAAGCUGGGGAGGACCUGAACUGGGCCCAAUUGUUCUGAAAGAGAGAAGAAGCAGCACAACUGUCCUCUAACAAAAAUGGUACAUUUAAGGAGAAGGUUCAGGAAUCAGCGCAGGCAGCAUUAGCCCCAGAGGCUGGCAAGGCGGCUGAAUGGAUGCAGACGAGCUGCUCUCCCCAAGCGGGCGGGCUCUGCCAACACCUGUGAAGUGAAAACCCGUCUGCGCCGCAGAUCUUCUGUGUUGUACUGGACCCAGCCCUUUCCAGCUGAGCUGUGGUGACCCUAAACACUGUCCUGAGAUAUGUUUUGGGGCUGCUGUCUGGGCUCUGGUGCUACUUGCAGCUGCUCUUGAAUAUCUUCAACUGAUCAUCAGCUGGAAUAGCUGAAGUGAAACAAACUUCCCAUGAUCCACCUACCUUGAAGAACAGAAUCACUCUGGUAGGAGUAAAUUAUUGUGAGUGAGAAAAGCCUGACUGCUGGCUGCCUUUCUUGCCUUCCAAAUCUUAGAGCAGUGAGAAAUGGAGACAUGGUUUGGGUCAGCAUCCAGGUACAGAGCACGCUUCACCUGCCAUGAACUGGGGAUGGGGAAGCAAAGGGAAGAGUGCUGCUCUCAGAAGGCUUCCUGGUAGGGAGAAUCCUCAGUAGCAGAGCUGCUCCGAGCUGCUGGGGCAUGCAGAGGAGCUGCAGAUGGGGCCGAGAGUCCAGCUUGAUACUUCUCUGGUCAGCCACCAGUUACAGCAUUAUCAAAUGCUCACUAGAGGACACUUAAAGUCUCCUAAAUAUUUAUGGAGUUCAAAGUCACUGCAAUGCUCUGCGAUGCUCUUACUAUUAUUAUUUUAUUGCCAGCAGAUUGAGGCAAUGAGAGGUGAAGUGUCUUGCUUUUUGAAACAAUGCCCAGUGUCAAAUUUCCACCAGAAGCAGUCACCACAAACAUCUAGAUGGAUUAGCUAAACCUGUGCCUUCCCAUUAAUGAUGUAUCACACAAGAAGACCCUGUGAAGUUUUAGGUUGAGAACGUCCCCUGAAGACCUACAGAGAAAACAGCUCAAGCAAAUGUUCCUGCAUUGGUUUACUGCAGCCCAAGCCAGACGUCUUCUCUGUGAAUAGAGCAAAAUAGGCAGAAAACAUUGGUCAUGGACUUUUCUGUACAGUACAGCAUUGUUCAGAGAUCAUGGGAACUUCAUAAAGAUAUCAGACAUACUUCUCCAUUGCAAUGAGCUACAUGUAAAUAAUUAAUUUCCUGGAAACACUCAGAUAUUCUAAUUACACAGGAUUUGCUACUGGACACACAUCUUUGAAAAUAAUUUCAGUGCAAUUAUAAAGGUAUUUUGUGUGAAUAACACCAUGAAAAAAUACUAAACAUGCUAUUUAUUCACUCAGGGAAAAUAUACUAUUUAUUUUUUUCUGCAUAUUUAAAGUUACUUGGCUAAUUAAUUAGAUAAUAAAAGCUAGAGUUAAGUUUUCAUUUUUCAUUGCAACACAUUGCAUAAAUGAUACUGUUAUAAAUGUGUACCUCUGCAUUAGGUAAGCGCAUUUUGGUCAGCUGAUUGAGUCAGAUUUUUAUUUUAAUUCCUUUCCAGUUGAUCUUUUUUGUAGUGUAAAUUUAAAGUAGCAUGGUGACUACUUUUACCUGUAAUUUGGGCCUUCCAAACAGCACCAAAUUGUGCUGUCCCGCCCUUCCAUUUGUUACAGUGACUAGUGAAAAGAAGCAACAUAUUAAUGCCAGUCCUAUAAAAGUAUCUGUGAAGAAAACAGUUUUUUACCACAAAGGGUAAGUUCUAUAUGAGUUUAUAUUAGGUAUUUGUCAAAGGACUUUUUUUUCCCUGUUAAAGAUGGAGUCAUAUGAAUCAUAAAAAUAUUAAUAUUUGAGACAAAAUAUCACUACAGGUAUGUCACCACAAAAAUCAAUUGUCAGUAUAUGUUUAAGAGUAGCAAAUCAAUGUUAACUGAUUUGCCUAAAAAUGCCUAUAGACUGUGGAAUGUAAAGCCCUCCUUCAAAAUUCACAUAGCAUGUCCAGUUUUUUUAAAUGAACUUGUUAUUACAUACACAUAUUCUAGAGGCCUUUCAAGAGUUUCAAUUUUAAACAAAAAUUAUAUGUAAAUGCAAAGUCUGAUAUCUUGCCUGUAGUCACAGAACCCACUUACAGGACUUGCUGCUACUGCUGGUUUGUGGUAAUGCAUCAAUUUCGCAUGAGCUCAGGACAAAUUGGUGAACAUAAUUUCAGCCACAUGAUGUCAUUACAAAUACAGCCUUAGCUCUUUCAAAAGUGGACUUUAUUGUUAAUAUAAAUAUAUAUAUGUAAUUACUGACAUUUAUAUUAUUUGGCUCCUGUCCUAAGUUAUAGAUACAGUGAUGAUAAAAGGGUCUUGCCAGCCCUUACCUAAGAAAACUGUGUUUACUAAUUACCUCCCAUGGUUCUGGGUUCCUGUAAAUAAAGUCACGCAUGUAUUUAUAAGCAAGU